This 606-nucleotide ribosomal RNA is filed under the name uncultured bacterium. Its description in RNAcentral is "bacterial SSU rRNA". It matches the Rfam family "Bacterial small subunit ribosomal RNA", at positions 1 to 602 of the family's 1533-position model. The record is from RNAcentral.
UCGAUUAGAGUUUGAUUAUGGCUCAGGACGAACGCUGGCGGCGUGCUUAACACAUGCAAGUCGAACGGAAAGGCCCGCUUGCGGGUACUCGAGUGGCGAACGGGUGAGUAACACGUGGGCAACCUGCCCUCAGCUCUGGGAUAACUCCGGGAAACCGGGGCUAAUACUGGAUAUCAAUUUCUGGCCGCAUGGUUGGUUGUUGAAAGUUUUUCGGCUGGGGAUGGGCCCGCGGCCUAUCAGCUAGUUGGAGGGGUAGAGGCCCCCCAAGGCGACGACGGGUAGCUGGUCUGAGAGGAUGAUCAGCCACACUGGCACUGGAACACGGGCCAGACUCCUACGGGAGGCAGCAGUGAGGAAUUUUGCGCAAUGGCCGCAAGGCUGACGCAGCAACGCCGCGUGGGUGAAGAAGGCCUUCGGGUCGUAAAGCCCUGUCAGGUGGGAAGAAAGGCUUUAGGGAGAAUAUGCCUGAAGUUUGACGGUACCACCAGAGGAAGCACCGGCUAACUCCGUGCCAGCAGCCGCGGUAAUACGGAGGGUGCGAGCGUUAUUCGGAAUUACUGGGCGUAAAGCGCGUGUAGGCGGGGAUACGAGUCUGAUGUGAAAGCC